CUUUAAAUGUCUCUUCUAACUGAAAUGAUUCUGUGAUUCUACACUGGGAUUCAACUCUGUGCUCAUUUGUCAGAAAGAAGUGGAAAUGUUUUCAGAGCAUGAAUUCAGCCAACUGAAGGUGUUUUGAUGAUGUAAGCAGUCUGACCUUUGAAGAGCUUUACAAAAGACAAUAAAAGGAUAGAAUCA
Molecule: long non-coding RNA, 186 nt
Filed under: Numida meleagris (helmeted guineafowl)
Lineage: Eukaryota; Metazoa; Chordata; Aves; Galliformes; Numididae
Description: lncRNA (ENSNMEG00000005317.1)
Source: RNAcentral